GAUGAAGGUAGCGAAAUGCGAUAAGUAAUGUGAAUUGCAGAAUUCAGUGAAUCAUCGAAUCUUUGAACGCACAUUGCGCCCGCCAGUAUUCUGGCGGGCAUGCCUGUUCGAGCGUCAUUACAACCCUCAGGCCCCCGGGCCUGGCGUUGGGGAUCGGCGGAGCCCCCCGUGGGCACACGCCGUCCCCCAAAUACAGUGGCGGUCCCGCCGCAGCUUCCAUCGCGUAGUAGCUAACACCUCGCGACUGGAGAGCGGCGCGGCCACGCCGUAAAACACCCAACUCUUCUGAAGUUGACCUCGAAUCAGGUAGGAAUACCCGCUGAACUUAAGCAUAUCAAUAAGCGGAGGA
This 349-nucleotide unclassified non-coding RNA is filed under the name soil metagenome. RNAcentral's name for it is "partial contains 5.8S ribosomal RNA, internal transcribed spacer 2, and large subunit ribosomal RNA". The stretch from base 1 to 117 matches the Rfam family "5.8S ribosomal RNA", at positions 38 to 154 of the family's 154-position model. The record is from RNAcentral.